Molecule: long non-coding RNA, 3607 nt
Organism: Haliotis rubra (blacklip abalone)
Lineage: Eukaryota; Metazoa; Mollusca; Gastropoda; Lepetellida; Haliotidae
Exons: 4
Source: RefSeq, a predicted model, not a curated record
CCCUAGAUUGACGUCACUCUACAACUACUUCAACUACAGUCAAUCAUGGCGAUAGAUGGAGUCAUCCUUAUGCUGCCGUUGUUUCUUUGCUGCGGAAGUUAUGGAGAUCCUCAUCGUCCCAUACAACACUGUGAAAUGACCUGCGAUACUUGCGCUAAGGGAUGGUAUGGGCCAAACUGUACCCUUGAGUGCUCAAACUGCCAAAUCGACCAAUGUGACAAAACAACAGGUGAAUGUGACAACUGCAGACAUGGUCACCAUGGCAGGAGAUGUAACGAAGUGUCCCCCACAUUGUGGAGGAAGUAGAGGCGAUGUAACCGUGAUUCGGGGAACUGUGACGACAGAUGUCUUCAGCAUUACUGGGGACCAAGGUGUGAGAGGAACUGCAGCCGAAUGUGCAAUGGUUCUGUCUGCAUACAAAAUACAGGAGAGUGCCACCCUGGGGUUGCCGAGACGGAAGCACUGGAUAUUACUGCAAUGUUAGUUGUGAAACAGGUUGUGUGAAUACCACGUGUGCGCACAUAACAAAAGCAUGUAUAGAAUGCAAGAAUUGAAAUACCCAUUCGGUGUGUGUGAAAAUAUUGGAUUGUGUAAUUCUAUGUGUGAUCAAUGUUACAAAGAAGAGAGAUGCAAAGCAACAGAGUACCUCGAAGUAAACUGACGAAUGGAACCUUGGAUGAAUCCGAAACAGACGCACCAGGAGCUGGUUCCGUGAUUGGUGCCGUGUUUGGUGUCAUCGUGGUAAUCUCACUGGUUGUCGUGGGCGUAAUAGUCUACAGAAGAUGGUAUCGUAAUCGCCGAGGUGGUCGAGAGUCACCAGGACCUGAAGCAGUCAAAAUGUCACAUACAGAGGAGAUAAGCCCACAGACUGACGCCGGAAACGAAUCAGACAAGUUUACAGUUAAGGACGCUUCGAGUUCAUCCAAUAUCUGAUGAAACAUUUCUUACACAGCCAAGAAGGUUGUGUUGAUGAAAAGUCGUGAAGUCCUUUCCUCCCUGUACGAACUUUGAUCCAACAAAGGACAGGAACAAAUUGGUCUAUGCCAGUCAGCACAUGACGAACGUCAACUCCCUCCUCGAGAAGCUCACUCCACGCCAGGGUGUCAACAGUUUCCGGGAACAUCUAGUGCAGGAUGGUGACCUGAAUGAGGCCUCUGAUAACGCUGACACGUACUGAAACUCACUCAUUCUGAUGUUCACUUGACGCUGUGUAACCAUUUGCUGACGACUGUGAUUGUAUCAAACAUUAUGAGUGAAGACAAUACGGCACUUUAUUGAUAUUAUCCAAGCCUUCAUCACGUCGAAACUUGAUUACUGCAACUCGCUGCUGUUUGGAACAUCUGAGCAUCUACUUGGCAAGCUUCAGCGUGUGCAGAACACUGCAGCGAGGGUGAUAACCCGUCACCAGAAAUACGACCACAUCACCCCUGUACUCCACCGUCUACACUGGUUGCCAGUCAGGUACAGGAUCCAGUACAAAAUACUGUUGUUAGAGUUCAAGUGUGUGAAUGGACUUGCCCCCAGCAACCUUUCAAAUCUUCUUAAAAGACACUACCCUCCCAGAUCCUUACGGUCUGGUUCCCAGUAUUUCUUGGAGGUACCAACCACACGAACAAAGACAUUUGGCGACCGUUCAUUCGCAAAAGCUGGUCCAGUAAUGUGGAACAGUCUACCUAUGCACCUGAGAUCGCAAGAGAAUCUACCAGCAUUUAAGUCACAACUGAAAACUCAUUUGUUCAGUGCUGCCUACCGAACUUGACCAAUGUCGUUCCAGACUAAUUUCCAGCGCUUUUGCGUGGCAGAUGCCAGAAACUAGCGCUAUAUAAAUAUUUGUAUGUGUGUAUGUAUGUAUGUAUAUUAAGGUUCAAUCAUUCCCAUAAGUCUGUAUGUAAGCUGAGGUAAGAUGAAACUGGGUUCAAGAAGAUUUCUCUUCCACAGCAAGGACCAUACACAUAUGUAUAUGGCUGUCUAUACUUGACCCGACUGAGACAGUCUACGUUUGGACCACUGAGGAAACAUACGCUAGCGUAAAAGUGAUGCAUCAUUCAGAAAAAAGAGUUUCUGUUAAUUAAAAAUAAUAUGAAUACAUGAGAACAUCAGUGGUCAUAUUGAAAACAAAAUCUGAUAGAAUACACGCUUUUAAAAUGACCUGUACAUAUCCACGGGGCUAGGGAUUGAGGUUAUUAUUUAUAAGACAAUAUAUGUAGACAUGCCUUGGUUUAGGAAAGACAGCUGGUAGGGCUAGAUUAAUGAAAAUUUAAACAGUUAAAAUUGAUACUUAUUUAUCACAUUGCAAUACAGACCAUUUCUGUGUAAAUGAAACACUUUCUUGAAAAAUAUAUUUUUCUAUUCGACAAUAGCGUCGCAUUCUUUCAAUAAAAAGAUUUAAUUGUGAAGAAGUUUCUCUACAUUUGCUAAUAUAAAAUAUUCUUUUAUUAUUAGAGAGAGAAUAUUGAUUCCCUAAAACAUGGUAAAGUCAAUUGUGCAGAUCGAUGCUCAUGCUGUUGAUCACUGGAUUGUCUGGUCCAGACUCGAUUAUUUACAGACCGCCGCCAUAUAUAGCCAUAUAUAAAGAUUCUAAUCCGGGUCUUCACGGGGUGUAACACUUAAUAAGUCGAAUGACGAUGUGUCGAAGUUUAAGAAACUUACAAGUAUAUAUUUACGAUGUUCGACACAAAUGUUACAUAAGGACAAAAUAAGGAAUACACAGGGACCAGGCUAUCUAUUCUCGAAACGUUCGUAGUCCUACGAACUUGUUAAGCCCAUUCUUAUCACAGUAGCUACGAUCAAAGUUACGAAUACUUAGGGCUACAAGAAUUCUGAGGGCUACGAACUUUUCGAAAAUAAGGGCCCAAGUUCUUACUUCGAAACAAUCGUUAGUUGGAUAUCUCAAAGGUCGACACAACGCUGUAAUACUGCCAUUCGAGGUUUAGCUGACAAUGAUUUCUAAACAACCAGUCAACAGGCAUCACUAAAAUUUGAGCUCCCGCAGUUAAGGUAAAUAGAGACUUCUACUCAAUCCCCUCUAUCAAAUGAAAUGUGUGCUGCCUUUGAGCCACCAUUCAAAUAUCCUUUCAUUUCAUCUGAAGCAAAUGGGAUAACAGUGCAAGAAAACUUGGUGUAGAAGUAAGUUUGUAAAGCAAACGUAUUUUGAAUGAAGAAUAAUAGGAGUUUCUUAAAGAGCGUCUGAGUGGUAUAUAUAGCUACUUGGUAUGUCAUACAGAAAUACGGUUAUACUGCGACAAGCUUGGGGGCGUAUUGUGACUAAUGAACUUCAUACAGGGAACGUGAAACCUGCACUUUACUUCUCUUUGAUAUGUUUGAAAUGGCGUCUGAUUUUAUUCCAAUGACGUAUAAUGAGCAAUGCCAUUUCCGUUGCAUUAGUAGUUGUAAAAAUGUUCGAAAUAAUGCCAUACGUCCCGGAUGUAAUGUUUGGGUUCUCCAUUCAGAUAGAUAACGAUUUUGCGCUCUUUAAUAUCGUUGCCUCAGCCCACAAACGAGACCUCCGUCAUUUUGUUAUUUUUUCUCAAUUUCGUCUACGAAUGAAAUGUAUCCUUAAUAUAGUAAGUAAAUGUAUGGAAUUUUACAGCUAUGUCACGACAGUGAA